GCUUCCCUCUUUCUUCGUGCCUAAUACAUGCAAGUCGAGCGAACAGACGAGGAGCUUGCUCCUCUGACGUUAGCGGCGGACGGGUGAGUAACACGUGGAUAACCUACCUAUAAGACUGGGAUAACUUCGGGAAACCGGAGCUAAUACCGGAUAAUAUAUUGAACCGCAUGGUUCAAUAGUGAAAGACGGUUUUGCUGUCACUUAUAGAUGGAUCCGCGCCGCAUUAGCUAGUUGGUAAGGUAACGGCUUACCAAGGCGACGAUGCGUAGCCGACCUGAGAGGGUGAUCGGCCACACUGGAACUGAGACACGGUCCAGACUCCUACGGGAGGCAGCAGUAGGGAAUCUUCCGCAAUGGGCGAAAGCCUGACGGAGCAACGCCGCGUGAGUGAUGAAGGUCUUCGGAUCGUAAAACUCUGUUAUUAGGGAAGAACAAAUGUGUAAGUAACUAUGCACGUCUUGACGGUACCUAAGCAGAAAGCCACGGCUAACUACGU
This 496-nucleotide ribosomal RNA is filed under the name uncultured bacterium. Its description in RNAcentral is "partial 16S ribosomal RNA". It matches the Rfam family "Bacterial small subunit ribosomal RNA", at positions 36 to 506 of the family's 1533-position model. The record is from RNAcentral.